This is a long non-coding RNA of Oreochromis aureus, 1170 nucleotides long. NCBI's taxonomy places the organism in Eukaryota, Metazoa, Chordata, Actinopteri, Cichliformes, Cichlidae. The record is from Ensembl.
GUUGCAUUAAGAAUUACUGUGUGAGGAACGGCUUCACUUUUGAUUAGGGACAUAAUAUGCUUACUUUUGGGUUUAUGAAGAUCUCGUAACAAUCUGGGGGAGAUGCCGGGGUAAAAAGAGUGAGCUUGGACGAAGGGGUCCGAGAAAAGAACACCGUGAUUUGAGCAAGGUGUUUUAACUGACUCAGGAUUUCAGAGAAUCGAGUCAGCUGUGAUCUUGAGUUUUAAGGGCCUGCAAAAGAGUGGAUAACAGCGCUGAAAAUUCUCGGUGACCUUCUCCAGAUUACAAUGGCCAGAGGAGAAGGCUAAGUCUCUGUCUAAAAGGAUUGCCGCGAGCCAAUCCAGUCUAAAAGCAGAAAGAACUAUUUUCCUAAAAACAAAAUAAAACAAAUGAAUGAGCGCAUGUUGCUGAGAGUGAAGACUCUGAUUAUUUGCGAGAUAGUCUCCACUGUCAGCAAGACCUGAUGUUAAUGCAUGUGAGUGAAUGUGUGUAAAUGGAUGGUGACUGGACGGACGAGGCAGACCAUAGGUUGGGCCGACUGGACACUGAGAUAAAGACUGGACUAAGGUUAGACACAUGACUGAUAACUGUUCUGUUUUAAGUUUUCUUUUUAUAACACAGGUUGGAUCAUAAGUGGGGAAAAACUGAGGAUGAAAUGUGAAGUUCUGGUUAACACACAGGUUUUUGUUUCUACGAAGUUCCAAGGAUGCAGGCUGUGGAUGGAGCCAAGAAAAGAUUUGACAUAAUGAUUAAUUUGAUUUCAUUCCUUAAACACAGGUUUGAAGGGCCGGAGCAUGAAUAUCUAAUAUGAUAUGACUAACCUUUUUCUUUUAAUCUCCUAAGCUCGAGUGAAGGAUUUUGAGUUUGUAACACAUAAGAUGUGUCACAAAAGGGGGGAGUUAUAGGAUUUAAGGUUUAAUUUGAAAUGGGUUUUAGGAUUACUCGAUGACGUUUGGGGUUUUUGAUAACUGAGAUAUGGUAAAAUUGAGGCAGAAAUUGUUUUGUGGUUCUUUUUGAUCUGUUUCUAUGCUCAGAUGGUGAUGGUUUAUAUCUUACCCUGGGCGUGUUUAAUAAAACUAAGAGUGUUGCCCACAUACAUGAAGGGCAUGGAGAUGAAGUAAAGUUAAUAUAAAGGACAGAGCCCAGAACAUGAUAUGGUGAAACAACUUU